AGACGAACUUCUGCGAAAGCAUUUGCCAAGGAUGUUUUCAUUAAUCAAGAACGAAAGUUGGGGGCUCGAAGACGAUUAGAUACCGUCGUAGUCUCAACCAUAAACGAUGCCGACUAGGGAUUGGCAGGUGUUUCGUUGAUGACCCUGCCAGCACCUUAUGAGAAAUCAAAGUUUUUGGGUUCCGGGGGGAGUAUGGUCGCAAGGCUGAAACUUAAAGGAAUUGACGGAAGGGCACCACCAGGCGUUAAAAAAGCAGAAGCUCAGCGCCUAAAAGUCAGUGGGAAACCACUGGCUAGUGCUUGGGUGCUGCUCUGACAGCACUUGAGCGCAACACUGAUCAAAUUGCGGGAAAGCCCUAAAGCUUUGCUAACCAAGCUGAGUGUGAAAGCACUCAGUGGCCGGGUUAAAGACCUUGGGUAUGGUAAAAUCAGCAAAGAUGCAACAAUGGGCAAUCCGCAGCCAAGCUCCUUAAGCCUUCUAGGCUAUGGAGAAGGUUCAGAGACUAAAUGGCAGUGGGCCAACUUGUUGGCUUAAGAUAUAGUCCGUCCCAGCUGAAAGGCUGUCUGCUAGAGGAAGACUAUCCAGGUCUGAGAGCUAGCAGAGGGUAAGAGGGAGAAGUGAUCUCCCACUUACUUGGAGGAAACGGGAGCCUGCGGCUUAAUUUGACUCAACACGGGAAAACUUACCAGGUCCAGACACGGGGAGGAUUGACAGAUUGAGAGCUCUUUCUUGAUUCUGUGGGUGGUGGUGCAUGGCCGUUCUUAGUUGGUGGGUUGCC
RNAcentral lists this ribosomal RNA (778 nucleotides) under Dunaliella sp. RNAcentral describes it as "SSU rRNA". It matches the Rfam family "Eukaryotic small subunit ribosomal RNA", at positions 933 to 1310 of the family's 1831-position model. Lineage: Eukaryota; Viridiplantae; Chlorophyta; Chlorophyceae; Chlamydomonadales; Dunaliellaceae. The record is from RNAcentral.